RNAcentral lists this long non-coding RNA (2079 nucleotides) under Homo sapiens (human). RNAcentral describes it as "hepatocellular carcinoma up-regulated long non- coding RNA". Lineage: Eukaryota; Metazoa; Chordata; Mammalia; Primates; Hominidae. The record is from RNAcentral.
GGGUAGAGACGCUAGGCCGGCACUGCCUAGGUGGGCCGGGCGGUGCGAGGGUCGCCUUUCAGCCUUUACCUCUACCCACUGAAAUGGAGUAGGUCGGUGAGCGCCGAUCUGCUGGAGAAUCUCAUUAUCCCAUCGGCGCUCUGCCUGCUCCUGGCCUCCAAGCCUCUGAAGCCCCUCGGGUUUCAGCUGCCGGCUACCCUCGAGCCCGUGGUGCCCACGAGAGAGGCGACUUUACGUCAGCGGCCCUGGGCUGAGAUUUGAGAACGCGACCAAGUGGAGAAUGUUGGAGCCAGAUUUUAAAAUCCUUGUCUUCCUUCUGCGUGCUACUUGAUCUAAAUGAGAUACGGCAAAGUCACAGAACCUGUUUUUAUGUUUUUGCCUGAUUCAUACGGGCUUCUCCGGUGAAGAUGGGCCUGAAGUAACGCUUGGGUUGCUUCUGACGUUAUAACUCAUCCUGUAGCUGCAGCAACCGUGGUCCUUGCAACCUCAUAAAAAUGUUGCCAGCAUUGUUUCGAUAGUGCUGCUUAAUUCUUGGAAGGCCUCUUUGCUUUCUUCCCUGAGGUUCUUCGGACUUCACACAUUCCAGCAGUAGCUCUCUCAGCUCCUGUCCUGCACAGCUUUGAAGUGCUGGUGAUGUCAUUGAACUCUUAAGUGCAAGAUGAAACAAGUCUUUCUGGGGUUCUAAGUAGUUAACCAACAGGACACAGCCCUGGUGAUGGCUUUCUGAGGAUGACACGAUGGAGGCUUCUCCAAUAGCUCUAAAACUGCGGUGUGGAAAACAUUCGGCAGCCUCAAAGAGCGGUCUUGUUGACCCCAACUAUAUCAUUUUUCAUCAAAAUCAUUCUUGUAAAGAAUGACCAGGCAACACUCUUUGAAAAUUGGAGGCCAUUUGCAGCUGCUCUCUGUUGAGGAAAGUGAAUAAUAGGGUGCCCUCAAGGAAUUGCAAAGGUAUCACUCAACAGAAACUUUCGUGUCUGAAGAAAACUAGAUCAUUUUAUCAUGGUAGGCAUGCUGAUAUGUUUGCUUUAAUAAAAUGCCAUAUUUCUGCCUUUAAUCUCUUGUCAACCCGCUAUUAAAAAGCCCCAAAGUGCAUGUGUGCAGCGCAUGUAAACACUUGUGGUUUUGAGGUUACCACAGAACAUACUAAUAAAGCAUGUAAUUUGUGUUUUGUGCACAGACUGUAAUAAUUUAUUGAGUGGUACAGAGAAGCUAGAAAAGGAUUUUCUCUAACUUUUGCCAGCAAGUCAAUUUAUUUUUAGUGCUCUAUGCAGAAGUACAUGUAUACACAUGUUCUUAUGAUUACAUCAUGUUUAAAAAGCAUUAGGGAGCCUGCAUAACAAAAUGGGACAAAACAUAAAUUCAUUUUGCACAUACGGAAGACAUUCUAUCAAGCAUGCUAAUGUUCCUCCUAUAAGCUGAUCAGCUGGGAGGUGUGGCAUAUAUUCUUCCACAAAGGGUGUGUGUUUGUGUGUGUGUGUGUGUGCAUGUUUGUGUGCGUGUUGAGCACUGACAAUACAUUAGCAGAGUAUAGAUCAAGUAAGUUCAAGUAAAUUAAGACGAAUAAUAAUAGCAAGAACUUUUAUAAACUUUACCAACUUUAUCCCCAGUCCCCCUGGGGGAGGAGGGCAGAGAACAAUGUUGUUCCUUCUUUUAUAUGGAAUAACAAAACGUAUAAUGGUUGGGUCACUUCUAGAGGGUCCUAGAAGAGCUCAUUGCCAGACUACAGCUUCCACCAUGAUUGUUUGGGUAGCCAAUUUAUCUGUUUAUGUAAGAUCCUUACAGGUAAGAACCAUCAGGUUGUAUACCACUUAGCUUUUUGCUUUCACUUCUUCCCUUGUGAGGUUCCUUGCACACAACAAAUCAUCCACACAGAUGCAUAAUUUGAAAGGAAAGGUCUUGAGCUUAUGGAAGAAAUACAUACCAGUUUCUGGAAAAUUCUGUGAAAUUCUGUAGUUGGAAAAUAAUUCUGUGAAAUUCUAUGCUUUAUUUACUCAAACAAAAAACACAUUCAGUUUAGAAAUAACGUCUGUGCCCAGAAGAAAUAGGUGUUAGAUACUCAAAACGUGUUUAUUCCAAAAA